RNAcentral lists this ribosomal RNA (618 nucleotides) under Triticum aestivum (bread wheat). RNAcentral's name for it is "partial small subunit ribosomal RNA". The record is from RNAcentral. Lineage: Eukaryota; Viridiplantae; Streptophyta; Magnoliopsida; Poales; Poaceae.
UCUGAUCUUGGACCUCUUCGCUACUUUCUUGGGAUUGAAGUCUCUUCUACCUCUGAUGGCUUUUUUAUAUCCCAGGAAAAGUAUAUCCAGGAUCUUCUUGCUCGUGCUGCUCUUACUGACGAGCGCGUUGUUGAGACUCCUAUGGAGCUCAAUGUUCACCUCCGUGCUACUGAUGGUGAUCCUCUCCCUGACCCGACGCGUUAUCGUCAUCUUGUUGGCAGUCUUGUCUAUUUAGCUGUCACUCGUCCGGACAUCUCUUAUCCGGUUCAUAUUCUGAGUCAGUUUGUCUCUGCCCCCACCUCGGUUCACUAUAGUCAUCUCCUUCGUGUUCUUCGAUAUCUUCGAGGCACGAUCUCUCACCAGCUAUUCUUUCCUCGCUCCAGUUCUUUACAGCUCCAGGCCUAUUCGGAUGCUACGUGGGCUAGUGAUCCUUCUGAUCGCCGUUCACUUUCUGCUUACUGUGUUUUUCUUGGUGGUUCUCUCAUUGCCUGGAAGACGAAGAAACAGCUUGCAGUUUCCCGUUCGAGUGCCGAGGCUGAGUUGCGAGCAAUGGCUCUUUUGACGGCAGAGGUGACUUGGUUACGGUGGUUACUUCAGGAUUUUGGUGUUUCUAUCACU